Molecule: non-coding RNA, 3166 nt
Organism: Arachis ipaensis
Lineage: Eukaryota; Viridiplantae; Streptophyta; Magnoliopsida; Fabales; Fabaceae
Source: RefSeq, a predicted model, not a curated record
AUUUAAAAAGAAAAAGAAGAAGGAGACUUCGAGCCCCUACCCGGCUACCCCUUCUCCCUCAGUCCGUCUCAUCCACUCAAACGAAGCUUUUCCAGUUUUCCUCCCCAAAUCAGAGAGAAACCCUAGGUUACAUGGUCUCCCCCACCGCUGCCGCCGUCCGUGGCGCUCAGGCACCAGUUUGUCCGCGCUUCUUCAGUUCUUCCUCAUUCAACAAUCGGAGCGUCACUGCUCGCCGUCAGUGGUCUUCGUCUUCCUCGAGCUCGUGGUCGAAGUCUCGAACAGUCCAAAGCCUCUCCGUCGUCCAACCCCUCUCCAACAGUUCAACCCGUCUGCUCUUCCUCGUGCUUCUGCCCCUCUGCUCAGACUGCUCAGAAUGAAGAAAACUUGCUAACACUGAAUCAUGUUCUUCCUUUCACUUCAUCCUCAUCUAUCUCUCAACUCAUCAACGCAUUCAUACUCUUACACUUGCAUUUCCUCUUCAUUCAACAACAACAAUCAGAAUCAGCAUCACCAUCACCAUCCCAAUUCCAUUCCAAUACCCAAAGACCCCAACAAUUCUCAUUAUGAUGCUUCCUCCAUCACCAUCAAAGUCAAAGCUCCAACACCUCCAUGGAUGAAGGGUCCCCUUCUUCUCCAACCUCAUGAUGUCCUUGACCUCUCUAAGCCCAAAAACAAGAGGCUCAGCAAGCGCCACAUGGAUAAAGAAGAAGAAGAAUCUGAGUGUGUUGAUAAGGCCCUCCAUGGGAAAGAGGUCAGAGGGAAGAAGGUCAUGAAGAGAAUCGCCAGAAGGAUUGAGAGACUUAGGAGAAAUCGUAAUUCAGCUGAGACCCAAUUGAGUUCUUCUGCAAAAGAAGAAAGCUUUGGAGGGUAUUUGGAGAAAUUGGAGGAGAAUGUUAUGGUUAGGAGCAAGGAGAGAAUGCCUUGGGAGAGGAAUGUUUCUGUGAUGGAUUCUUCAGCAAAAGAUAAAAACUUUGAUGGGUAUUUUGGUAAAUUGGAGGAGAAUGGCGAUGAUGAUGAGGAGCAGGUUAGGAGGAGUAAGAGGAGAAUGCCAUGGGAGAAGGAUGAGAAGAGUGUUUUGUUUGCAAGGUUGAAGAAGGAAAAGCCCGUGACUGCUGCUGAUUUGGCUCUUGAUGAAGUGCUUCUUAAGAGGCUUAGGAGUGAGGCUGCAAAGAUGAGAAUUUGGGUGAAGGUUAAGAAACUUGGUGUUACACAAGACGUUGUGGAUGAAAUCAAAAGGACUUGGAGGAACAAUGAGCUUGCCAUGCUUAAAUUUGACAUCCCCUUAUGCAAGAAUAUGGAUAGAGCUCGAGAAAUUGUUGAGAUGAAGACUGGUGGUUUGGUUGUUUGGAGUAGGAAGGAUACUCAUGUUGUAUACCGAGGAUGCAAUUAUCAGUUGACUUCUAGAAGUUCUCCAAAGGUUUAUCUUCGCUAUAUUCAUGGACAAACUAAAAGUCCUUAUGAAACAAACAUGGUGGAGUCAGUUAAAUCCAACAAUACUAGUGACAUGCCAAGCCGGAAUGGUAACAAUAAUGCUUCCACAUCAACUUGCAUUCAAGAAGUGCAUUGCAGUGGAUCAUUGUAUGAGAGGGAGACUGAUAGAUUAUUGGAUGACUUGGGACCUCGGUUUGUUGAUUGGUGGUAUCCCAAGCCACUUCCAAUAGAUGCUGAUCUACUUCCAGAAGUGGUUCCUGGAUUUAAGCCUCCAUUUAGGCUGUGUCCACCUUAUUCAAGUGCAAAAAUUACUGAUUAUGAGUUAACAUUCUUCAGGAAGCUUGCUAAACCUUUGCCAGUCCAUUUUGUCCUUGGAAGGAACAGAAGACUUCAAGGCUUAGCUGCUGCUAUCCUAAAGUUGUGGGAGAAGAGUCUUAUUGCAAAAAUUGCUAUCAAGUUUGGAGUUCCAAAUACUGAAAAUGAAUUGAUGGCCAAUGAACUAAAGCUUCUAACCGGGGGAGUUACGUUGCUGCGUAACAAGUAUUACAUAAUUCUCUACAGGGGAAACGAUUUCCUUCCUAGCAAUGUUGCAUCUUUGGUGGAAGAGAGAGAAUUGGAACUUAAAAGUUGCCAACUUUUUGAAGAAGUUGCACGGAUGAGAGCAAAUGAAGCCGUUUCUUCUAGUGAUUAUGCACAACAAGAAACAAGUACAAGUGGAAGUUUAACAGAAUUUGAGGAAAUCCAAACGAAGCUUGAGGAUGUAAAAAAUGGCAAUGCAGAUUUAAAUGUUCAACUGGAAGCAGAAAUAUAUAGAUUGGAGAGGCAAUUGAAAGAGCAACAGCGCAAAGCUUUGAUUAUUAGCAAGAAAAUAGAGAGAUCAACAGAGGAACUAGCAAAGUUAGAUGCUGCAUGGACUCCUGCAGAGAAGGAUGCAGACGUAGAAAUCAUGACUGAUGAGGAGAGACAAUGUUUCCGAAAGAUAGGAUUGAAGAUGAGUGGUCUCUUAGUGCUUGGUAGGCGUGGAAUCUUUGAUGGUGUAUUGGAAGGCCUACACCAGCACUGGAAACACAGAGAAGUUGUAAAGGUCAUCACAAAGCAGAGACUAAUCAGUCGGGUCAUAUACACUGCGAAAAUGCUGGAGACUGAGAGUGGUGGAAUCUUGGUUUCAGUUGACAAACUCAAAGAGGGGCAUGCAAUCAUUAUCUACCGUGGUAAAAACUAUAAAAGGCCUUCAGAAAAGGUAGCAAAAAAUCUCCUAACCAAAAGAAAAGCAUUGCAAAGAUCUCUUGAAAUGCAGAGACUCGGAUCAUUGAAGUUUUUUGCUCAUCAGAAACAGCAAACUAUCUCCGAUUUGAAGCUAAAAUUGGGUGAACUGCAGCAGAAAAAGGAAGCCAAGCAGCGCAAAACUGACAACUAAUGCGUGCGUAUCUAUGCUGCCACAGUUUACAUUGAUAACUGGUAGAAUGUAUUUCAUUGUUUUGAACUUAUUCUUUUAUUUUCUGCAUAUGUCUAGGCUGUUAAGAUAUUGAGGGCUGAUUAUGAACCCUCGGAUUUGAACAUCCUCUAUGCUGAAGGAUCCUCAAAUCAUAUAGCUCUCUUACUCGAGUUCUGCUGGAAAAAUAGAUCAUGGAAAAAGGAAGAAAAGGCUUUCUUUACAACAAAGGUUGCAAGGCUACUAAUUUUUGCUGAAAAGUCCGGAUAUUGUCUAGGAAUUAGAUUAGUUUUUUUCUAAUAU